GAGAACACAGUUAAAGUUUCUGUAGCGCUGCAGCAAAGUUGAAUAUACCAGAGAAUGUUACCAAUGCAUUCAUUGAGAAUCCAUCAAUGGUAAUAUUUGCAUUGCCACCAAACAAUUUAUUGCCCUCAAAAGGCGACUGGAACAGCAUUGCUUAUAUGCUAUACACUUGAUGAGAUAUUUCAUGCAACAAUAUUUACAUUGCUAAAAUUUAGGAUCCAUAUUUACACGAGGCAAAAAGUAUAUAAUGGGCAUGAAUAACUAAUAACCUUAUCUAGGCCUGCUCUCUGUUUUCAGGAAGCGUGCAUAUUCCUGCUGCAACAUCUCUCCUCCAUGAACCAGAUCAAAGCUGCACCUGUAGAAACUGAUAACAGGGUUGAAAUCUGUGAGAUGGAAGAUGGUGGAAUGGAGUGAUCCAUCAAAAUAAGUAAAUAAAUGGUUGAAAACAAUUUAUUUCCUAUGUGAUCACUAUUAUCUAACAUCCUGCAGUGUCCACUAAAAAUCCACUGAUAACAAUCCCCAUCUCAAAUUAUCAUAACUGAAUUUUGUACUCAGACCAGAUAUUACUUAUAGUGUCUCUAUGACCUCAAUCAUUACGGAUAAUAUCUCAAUAUUUGGCCAGCUAGACCUAGUAUUUCAAUAAAAUGUUAAAAAGAGUAAUGUUUAAGAAUGAGGAAGCUGAAGCAAACGCAAAAUCAGAAAUAUAAUGUGAGAAAACAAAGAUGGGAGACAGCUCAGGAUAGAGGGAAAUCAGUGAUAAGGUUUUAGGAGAUCAAGAGAGGAAAUUGGGCAGAGAGGUUAGUCAUUGUCAAAAGACCAGACACAAAGCAUUUUUUUAUUAAUUAAAACAGCCAUUAAGCAACAAACUCUUAUAUUCAAACAACUCAAAAUUUCUUAUUGCAAAUAAAGAGGAACACAAAUGCAAAUGAACUAGAACUGUAGCAGGUAAAAGAACAAGAUAAGCUCAUACCUUCCAUCCAUGCCAACAAUAAUAACAGUAUUCUGGGAUCCAAAUGCUGCAAUGAAUUGGGUGUCAUUUGCUCAGUUCCACUUACCAGAAGACACCCAAUUCAUUGCAGCA
This 1078-nucleotide unclassified non-coding RNA is filed under the name Hevea brasiliensis (rubber tree). Lineage: Eukaryota; Viridiplantae; Streptophyta; Magnoliopsida; Malpighiales; Euphorbiaceae. The record is from RNAcentral.